RNAcentral lists this transfer RNA (73 nucleotides) under Camelus ferus (Wild Bactrian camel). It matches the Rfam family "tRNA". Rfam says of the family: Transfer RNA (tRNA) molecules are approximately 80 nucleotides in length. Lineage: Eukaryota; Metazoa; Chordata; Mammalia; Artiodactyla; Camelidae. The record is from Rfam by way of RNAcentral.
GAGGGUAUAGCUCAAGUGGUAGAGCUCACGUUUGACGUGAAUGAGGUCCUGGGUUUAAUCCCCAGUACCUCCU